This 46-nucleotide transfer RNA is filed under the name Equus sp. RNAcentral's name for it is "partial tRNA-Phe". Lineage: Eukaryota; Metazoa; Chordata; Mammalia; Perissodactyla; Equidae. The record is from RNAcentral.
GCAAGGCACUGAAAAUGCCUAGAUGAGUAUUCUUACUCCAUAAACA